UGGUCUGCUUGUGGGACGCCUUGCCCGUGCCGAACUUCUGCUGCAGGUUAUAAGGUGGCAGGACCUACAAGGCCUACAACACUAUUUUGUGAGGGUGUUGCAUAAUGAAGCACCACUCAGAACAAUGAUCCGAAACAUGGUUCAGAGAACAGCUCUGCAGCAACUUCACACACAAAGACUUAGAAACCAGCUUCCAGAUCUUUUUGGUUGUUUAUUUUGGCAACAAAACCUGAAUCAUAACGCUGCAGCAAACUGCCUGUGUUACACAAUUUCUCAACUGAGGAUACCGCUGCAGAAAAACAUUAGCUUUGUGUGUGUUUAGUUGACCAAAAUUGGUAUUGCACCUGCAAUUCACAAUAUGUCUGUUCUGUGGUACCACAUCUGGCCUCAUCAUAGCAGCUAUGCUUAUUGGAUGUGGCUAGGAACUUCUGAAUGAAAAUGUAUUGUAGUCACCGAACUGCAUGGUGCAUAUGAUCCUGUAAACUAAACCCGAAUCAUAUAUGCACAGGUAUUCCUUUUGAAAUAUAAUGAUCAUCUCUGCUGUUGUUUA
Molecule: long non-coding RNA, 550 nt
Organism: Panicum virgatum (switchgrass)
Lineage: Eukaryota; Viridiplantae; Streptophyta; Magnoliopsida; Poales; Poaceae
Exons: 2
Source: RefSeq, a predicted model, not a curated record